RNAcentral lists this ribosomal RNA (439 nucleotides) under uncultured bacterium. RNAcentral's name for it is "bacterial SSU rRNA". It matches the Rfam family "Bacterial small subunit ribosomal RNA", at positions 338 to 795 of the family's 1533-position model. The record is from RNAcentral.
CCUACGGGUGGCAGCAGUGGGGGAUAUUGCACAAUGGGGGAAACCCUGAUGCAGCGACGCCGCGUGAGGGAAGAAGGUUUUCGGAUUGUAAACCUCUGUCUUGUGGGACGAUAAUGACGGUACCACAGGAGGAAGCCACGGCUAACUACGUGCCAGCAGCCGCGGUAAUACGUAGGUGGCAAGCGUUGUCCGGAAUUACUGGGUGUAAAGGGAGCGUAGGCGGGAAUGCAAGUUGAAUGUUUAACCUAUCGGCUCAACCGAUAGUCGCGUUCAAAACUGUAUUUCUUGAGUGAAGUAGAGGCAAGCGGAAUUCCUAGUGUAGCGGUGAAAUGCGUAGAUAUUAGGAGGAACACCAGUGGCGAAGGCGGCUUGCUGGGCUUUUACUGACGCUGAGGCUCGAAAGCGUGGGUAGCAAACAGGAUUAGAUACCCUAGUAGUC